Molecule: ribosomal RNA, 440 nt
Filed under: uncultured bacterium
Lineage: Bacteria
Description: partial 16S ribosomal RNA
Rfam family: Bacterial small subunit ribosomal RNA
Source: RNAcentral
CCUACGGGGGGCAGCAGUGGGGAAUAUUGCACAAUGGGGGAAACCCUGAUGCAGCGACGCCGCGUGAGUGAAGAAGUAUUUCGGUACGUAAAGCUCUAUCAGCAGGGAAGAAAAUGACGGUACCUGACUAAGAAGCCCCGGCUAACUACGUGCCAGCAGCCGCGGUAAUACGUAGGGGGCAAGCGUUAUCCGGAUUUACUGGGUGUAAAGGGAGCGUAGACGGCAGCGCAAGUCUGGAGUGAAAUCCCAUGGCUUAACCAUGGAACUGCUUUGGAAACUGUGCAGCUAGAGUGCAGGAGAGGUAAGCGGAAUUCCUAGUGUAGCGGUGAAAUGCGUAGAUAUUAGGAGGAACACCAGUGGCGAAGGUGGCUUACUGGACUGUAACUGACGUUGAGGCUCGAAAGCGUGGGGAGCAAACAGGAUUAGAUACCCUAGUAGUC